UAGUUCGCAACCUCAUCACCGUUUCAGGAUUCCUUUGCUUUCGGAACCUUUAGUAGUCAACUAGUCACCUAUUCACAAGAUAGUCUGUUGGUCACCUGUUAGUAAGACAGCCUGUCAGUCACCUGUUCGGGAAAUAGUCUGCCAAUCACCUGAUAAUGAGACAGCCCGUUAGUCACCUAUUCGUGAGACAAUUUGCCAAUCACCUGUUCGCGAGACAGUCCUUCAAUCGA
Molecule: long non-coding RNA, 230 nt
Filed under: Gossypium barbadense (sea-island cotton)
Lineage: Eukaryota; Viridiplantae; Streptophyta; Magnoliopsida; Malvales; Malvaceae
Description: long non-coding RNA (GBAR_LNC021670)
Source: RNAcentral